Molecule: ribosomal RNA, 500 nt
Filed under: uncultured Glomeromycotina
Lineage: Eukaryota; Fungi; Glomeromycota
Description: partial small subunit ribosomal RNA
Rfam family: Eukaryotic small subunit ribosomal RNA
Source: RNAcentral
CCAAUAGCGUAUAUUAAAGUUGUUGCAGUUAAAAAGCUCGUAGUUGAAUUUCGGGGUUAGUAGAUUGGUCGUGCCACUGGUAUGUACUGGUCUUACUGAUUCCUCCUUCCUGAUGAACCGUAAUGCCAUUAAUUUGGUGUUGCGGGGAGACUGUACUGUUACUUUGAAAAAAUUAGAGUGUUUAAAGCAGGCUAACGCUUGAAUACAUUAGCAUGGAAUAAUGAAAUAGGACGUUCGAUCCUAUUUUGUUGGUUUCUAGGAUUGACGUAAUGAUUAAUAGGGAUAGUUGGGGGCAUUAGUAUUCAAUUGUCAGAGGUGAAAUUCUUGGAUUUAUUGAAGACUAACUACUGCGAAAGCAUUUGCCAAGGAUGUCUUCAUUAAUCAAGAACGAAAGUUAGGGGAUCGAAGACGAUCAGAUACCGUCGUAGUCUUAACCAUAAACUAUGCCGACUAGGGAUCGGAUGAUGUUAAUUUUUUAAUGACUCAUUCGGCGCCUUACG